CAGCCGCCGCGGUAAUACCGGCGGCCCGAGUGGCGGCCACUAUUAUUGGGCUUAAAGCGUCCGUAGCCGGGUUGGUUAGUCUCCCGGGAAAUCUGGCCGCUUAACGGUCAGAAUUCCGGGAGAUACUGCCAGCCUAGGGACCGGGAGAGGCCGAGGGUAUUCCCGGAGUAGGGGUGAAAUCCUAUAAUCCCGGGAGGACCACCUGUGGCGAAGGCGCUCGGCUGGAACGGGUCCGACGGGGAGGGACGAAGGCCAGGGGAGCAAACCGGAUUAGAUACCCGGGUAGUCCUGGCUGUAAAGGAUGCGGGCUAGGUGUCGGGUGAGCUUCGGGCUCGCCCGGUGCCGUAGGGAAGCCGUUAAGCCCGCCGCCUGGGGAGUACGGCCGCAAGGCUGAAACUUAAAGGAAUUGGCGGG
Molecule: ribosomal RNA, 414 nt
Filed under: uncultured microorganism
Description: bacterial SSU rRNA
Rfam family: Archaeal small subunit ribosomal RNA
Source: RNAcentral